This 497-nucleotide ribosomal RNA is filed under the name uncultured bacterium. RNAcentral's name for it is "partial 16S ribosomal RNA". It matches the Rfam family "Bacterial small subunit ribosomal RNA", at positions 28 to 507 of the family's 1533-position model. The record is from RNAcentral.
GAUGAACGCUGGCGGCGUGCCUAAUACAUGCAAGUCGAGCGAACAGACGAGGAGCUUGCUCCUCUGACGUUAGCGGCGGACGGGGGAGUAACACGUGGCUAACCUACCUAUAAGACUGGGAUAACUUCGGGAAACCGGAGCUAAUACCGGAUAAUAUAUUGAACCGCAUGGUUCAAUAGUGAAAGACGGUUGUGCUGUUACUUAUAGAUGGAUCCGCGCCGCCUUAGCUAGUUGGUAGGGUAACGGUGUACCAAGGCAACGAUGCGUAGCCGACCUGAGAGGGUGAUCGGCCACACUGGAACUGAGACACGGUCCAGACUCCUACGGGAGGCAGCAGUAGGGAAGCUGCCGCAAUGGGCGAAAGCCUGACGGAGCAACGCCGCGUGAGUGAUGAAGGUCUUCGGAUCGUAAAACUCUGUUAUUAGGGAAGAACAAAUGUGUACGUAACUAUGCACGUCUUGACGGUACCUAAUCAGAAAGCCACGGCUAACUACGUG